RNAcentral lists this ribosomal RNA (465 nucleotides) under uncultured bacterium. RNAcentral describes it as "partial 16S ribosomal RNA". It matches the Rfam family "Bacterial small subunit ribosomal RNA", at positions 338 to 795 of the family's 1533-position model. The record is from RNAcentral.
CCUACGGGGGGCUGCAGUGGGGAGUUUUGCGCAAUGCUCGUAAGAGUGACGCAGCGACGCCGCGUGAAUGACGAAGGCCUUCGGGUCGUAAAGUUCUUUCGACAGGGAAGAAAAUGCCUAUAAGUAACUGUGUAUGUAUUGACGGUACCUGUAUAAGCAGCCCCGGCUAACUCCGUGCCAGCAGCCGCGGUAAUACGGAGGGGGCGAGCGUUGUUCGGAGGGACUGGGCGUAAAGAGCACGUAGGCGGUGUUGUAAGUCAUUAGUCAAAGACUAGAGCUCAACUUUAGUAAGGCUAGUGAUACUAUAAUACUAGAGUAUCAGAGAGGAUUGCAGAAUUCCUGGUGUAGCGGUGAAAUGCGUAGAUAUCAGGAGGAAUACCGUUAGCGAAGGCGGCAAUCUGGCUGGAAACUGACGCUGAGGUGCGAAAGCGUGGGUAGCAAACAGGAUUAGAUACCCCUGUAGUC